Long non-coding RNA from Lepisosteus oculatus (spotted gar), 1052 nucleotides. RefSeq lists it as uncharacterized. NCBI's taxonomy places the organism in Eukaryota, Metazoa, Chordata, Actinopteri, Semionotiformes, Lepisosteidae. The record is from RefSeq and is a predicted model, not a curated record.
GUCACACAUGUCCGGAGUCACAGCUUUCUUCCCCUCCUGGGAGGGUGAGUGUUCCCCACUGCGCUCCUGCUCUCUCUCCCUCUGCUGCUCCCAUCCACCCUUCGGAAACACUGACACAACUGCGCGCUGCCACUACCCUCCCCGUCUCUCUCUCCCACCCCUCUCUGCACAUUAUACCGUGGACGCGGCUGCCGAAAGGAGUAGAUUGAUUUGUGCCUGCACUCGGCUCCCUAAAACAAGUCUUCGGGGAGUGCAGGGCAUAAACCACCAUCCCGUUUGCUUAAUUGCCACUCCGCUCCACCCCCAGCCCCCCUAACCCCCCACCCCUGAAAGAGACAGGCCAAGAAUUCUAAUUGAGCUGCUGCCUCUAUAGCUCCUGCUCUACAGAUCCCCCAUUUAUCACUUCUGCUGCGUCCAGGUUCAUCAGCCACAGCUGAAAGCUCACAGGCUUCUUUUUUGCAUCGGUUUUAUUUCUUAAUUCUGGCACCUUAAUGUUAAUUAGCUAUGGAUUUCCAAAAACUGUGUUUUCAGUAGUAGCUUUUUUGAAUCAUCCAGCUCCAGGCUCCGUGUCGGCUUUUCAAUUACUGCAGGGAGACAGGGCUGGAAUGGCAGCCGCAUAUUAAUGCCUCAGCUCAGGACAGCAUGUAUACAGAAACAGACUGAGAAAAGAAGGAAAACAAGCCCAUUGGCAACACCAGCAGCACAAUAGGACAUGGACCGUAAUGCAGACAGCUGACAUGGAGCAUAGGCAGACAGACUACGCCUGCUUGCUUUUGGAUCUGCACGGCUCAGACCAUGAUAAAAAAAAAAAAGAUAAACCCUGAAACCCAUCUUUUCCGUUACUGCUUAAUGAUGAACAGGUACAGUAUUUAUUGGAAAUUUAAGUCUGCUUACUCAUAGUAUUGAAUGUAUGUGGCAACCUGCUUUUUAAUUAAUCAAAAGCAAUCAAUGAAUAUAUUUCAAAACACUGUACUUCCCUUCAAUUGCAUGUGGUUUUUAGUUCUCAGAGUUUAUGAUGUAAUUCAAGCUUUCUAAUAAAAUGUAUUAGUAUA